AUUCCGUGGUGAGGGCAAGCCUGGAUAUAUUCCUGGAGCCUUUCCCAAGCCUCAGGAAUGCACUCGAGUGAAGAUUGCUGGAAGUUUGAUAUCUUUCCCCUAAGAGC
This is a small nucleolar RNA of Sorghum bicolor (sorghum), 107 nucleotides long. It matches the Rfam family "Plant small nucleolar RNA R71". From Rfam's summary of the family: R71 is a member of the C/D box family of snoRNAs containing the C (UGAUGA) and D (CUGA) box motifs. The record is from Rfam. Lineage: Eukaryota; Viridiplantae; Streptophyta; Magnoliopsida; Poales; Poaceae.